CCUGUUGCAGGUGGAGCCACUCCCUGUCAAUAGUGUCUCCAUGCAAAUCUCCUGCCUGCUCUUAUAAUCCAUGAGCAGCAUCAGAGUCACAUCUCCAGCCUCAGGAUGAAGAACACACUCACUCUGCUGCUGGCUGCUCUCUCUCUGACAUGUUGUUCAGGUCAGAGCAUGGAGUCCAUUCCUUCCACUGCAGUAGUGAAGAAGCCUGGAGAGACCCUCAGUCUGUCCUGCAGAGGAUCUGGGUUCACAUUUAGUGACUAUGGGAUGAAUUGGAUCAGACAACCUGCAGGAAAACCCCUGGAAUGGAUGGGGGCUAUUUGGAGCGAUGCAAGUAAAACAGUUUAUGCCAGCAACGUUCAAGGACGGAUAGAAAUCACCAGAGACAACAGCAACAGCAUGACGUACCUGAAACUGUCCAACCUGAGGCCAGAGGACUCUGCUGUUUAUUACUGUGCCAAAUACUCACAGUGGUUAAAGUGAACUGAAAGGCUGUACAAAAACCCAACAUGACGUACACACAACAGCAUCUAGGGGGCGGUAUGAGACA
Molecule: non-coding RNA, 547 nt
Organism: Betta splendens (Siamese fighting fish)
Lineage: Eukaryota; Metazoa; Chordata; Actinopteri; Anabantiformes; Osphronemidae
Source: the annotation of a RefSeq genome assembly